UUUCUAGUGGCGACGGGUGAGUAACACGUUGGAACCUGCCCCAAAGUGAGGAAUAAGCCACCGAAAGGUGGUCUAAUACUUCAUAAUAUCCAUCUCGUAUGGAUUAAAGCUUUAUGCGCUUUGGGAGGGGCCUGCGUAACAUUAGCUUGUUGGUGAGGUAAAAGCUCACCAAGGCUUCGAUGUUUAACUGGUUUGAGAGGAUGACCAGUCACACUGGGACUGAGAUACGGCCCAGACUCCUACGGGAGGCAGCAGUAAGGAAUCUUCCACAAUGGGGCAACCCUGAUGGAGCAAUACCGCGUGCAGGAUGAAGCGUUUCGGCGUGUAAACUGCUUUUAUCACCGAAGAUUAUGACUGUAGGUGAAGAAUAAGGACCGGCUAACUACGUG
RNAcentral lists this ribosomal RNA (389 nucleotides) under uncultured bacterium. RNAcentral describes it as "bacterial SSU rRNA". It matches the Rfam family "Bacterial small subunit ribosomal RNA", at positions 89 to 507 of the family's 1533-position model. The record is from RNAcentral.